This 130-nucleotide ribosomal RNA is filed under the name Salmonella enterica subsp. enterica serovar Kentucky. RNAcentral describes it as "partial 16S ribosomal RNA". It matches the Rfam family "Bacterial small subunit ribosomal RNA", at positions 1241 to 1370 of the family's 1533-position model. Lineage: Bacteria; Pseudomonadati; Pseudomonadota; Gammaproteobacteria; Enterobacterales; Enterobacteriaceae. The record is from RNAcentral.
AAAGAGAAGCGACCUCGCGAGAGCAAGCGGACCUCAUAAAGUGCGUCGUAGUCCGGAUUGGAGUCUGCAACUCGACUCCAUGAAGUCGGAAUCGCUAGUAAUCGUGGAUCAGAAUGCCACGGUGAAUUCG